CAUUAGAUGGCUGAAAUUUAAGCAUUGGUCUCUUAAACCAUUUUAUAGUAAAUUACUUCUAAUGA
RNAcentral lists this transfer RNA (65 nucleotides) under Anaulaciulus koreanus. Its description in RNAcentral is "tRNA-Lys". Lineage: Eukaryota; Metazoa; Arthropoda; Diplopoda; Julida; Julidae. The record is from RNAcentral.